Molecule: ribosomal RNA, 486 nt
Filed under: uncultured bacterium
Lineage: Bacteria
Description: bacterial SSU rRNA
Rfam family: Bacterial small subunit ribosomal RNA
Source: RNAcentral
AUGGCUCAGACGAACGCUGGUGGCGUGCCUUAUACAUGCAAGUCGAGCGAGGCAGCAAUGCCGAGCGGCGAACGGGUGAGUAACGCGUAAGCAAUCUGCCCCAUAUCAGGAAAUACCCGUGCCAACGCGCGGUUAAUGUCCAGGAGAGUGGCUCCUUGCAUGAGGAGUUGACUAGAGAUUUAUCGGUAUGGGAUGAGCUUGCGUCCGAUUAGCUAGUUGGCGGGCAACGGCCCACCAAGGCGACGAUCGGUAGCCGGCCUGAGAGGGUGAUCGGCCACAUUGGGACUGAGAUACGGCCCAGACUCCUACGGGAGGCAGCAGUAGGGAAUAUUGCACAAUGGGGGAAACCCUGAUGCAGCAACGCCAACGUGUGGGAAGAAGCAUUUCGGUGUGUAAACCACUGUCAUGAGGGAAUAAGGCCCUUAUCCGUAAGGGAUUGAAUGUACCUUGAGAGGAAGCACCGGCAAACUUCGUGCCAGCCGCGGC